GGGAGUGAACGCACCACAUGGUAAGAUCCCAUGACUCGGAAGCCUCAGAUACUUAAACUCUAAUUUUUGUGUUUUUUCAUUUUUUCAUUUAUUUUCAAAUGUUCUCCGGUCUUCUCUUUCUUCUACCUUCUGUUCCUUUGGAAAGCCUAACUACAGACAUCAUUCAUCCAUCCUCCAACUCACUUCCCUGAUGCCCUGAAGUCUCCGACGCUCCGCGGCCUCCCCAACUCACCUCGCCACGAUCAAAAUUUCACAUCUCCUUUUGUUCAAACUCAAAUGCUUUCUGUUAGAUGAAAAUGCACCCCCUGCUAGGCCCUAACUUUCAACAAAAUCCUCCCCAAGCUUUCGCAAUCACGUGUGGAUGACCACGGAGUUCUUUGGAGAUGCCGACGGCGAACUGUGAGCCCCCCCGGGAAGCGUUCGGGUGUGAGCGAUAGAGGCAGACUCUUAAGGGAGGGCUCAUUCAAACUCUGAAGGACAAACCCCACGUGAAAAUCGAAGUGGCCACUGGGGAAUGGAAGGCUUUUUGAAUGCCUCCAAGUGGUAUUUGAUUGAUGAGUGGGGUGAUAUUGAGGGUCCAUAUGGUGGACGAGGAUUGGAGGGCUUUUGGGAGGCUUCCAGAUGGUAGAUGAGGAAUGGAGGGCUUUUUGGGAUGGUUCCAAGUGGCAGCAUAAGGAUGCUGGUUUGGUUGCGGUGAUCUAGAUGUCAGCAUAGGAGAGGUGGGCUUUUUGGAUGUCUCAGCUUGCCAGGCCCUGAUUGGAGCAUGGAAGGAUUCAACACUAGUUUCCUUUUUUUUUUUUUUUUUGCAUUUUGAUUUUUGUAAUCUUUAUUAUGUAUUUAUUAUUCUUUGUGCAUGCUCCAUGCAAUUUCAGUUUUGAGACAUUCAUUUCUAUAUCAAAUCUACAAUUCCAUUUGGAAAAUUUUAACUGAA
Molecule: long non-coding RNA, 931 nt
Organism: Malania oleifera
Lineage: Eukaryota; Viridiplantae; Streptophyta; Magnoliopsida; Santalales; Ximeniaceae
Exons: 4
Source: RefSeq, a predicted model, not a curated record